AUUGAACGCUGGCGGCAGGCCUAACACAUGCAAGUCGAACGAGUGGCGGACGGGUGAGUAAUGUCUGGGAAACUGCCUGAUGGAGGGGGAUAACUACUGGAAACGGUAGCUAAUACCGCAUACCAUCAGAUGUGCCCAGAUGGGAUUAGCUUGUUGGUGGGGUAACGGCUCACCAAGGCGACGAUCCCUAGCUGGUCUGAGAGGAUGACCAGCCACACUGAACCGGGGAAACGGGCCAGACUCCUACGGGAGUCAGCAGUGGGGAAUAUUCCACAAUGGGCGCAAGCCUGAUGCAGCAAUGCCGCGUGUAUGAGGAAGGCUAUGGGGUUGUAAAGUACUUUCGGCGGGGAGGCGUUACCCGCAGAAGAAGCACCGGCUAACUCCGUGCCAGCAGCCGCGGUAAUUC
RNAcentral lists this ribosomal RNA (406 nucleotides) under uncultured bacterium. Its description in RNAcentral is "partial 16S ribosomal RNA". It matches the Rfam family "Bacterial small subunit ribosomal RNA", at positions 30 to 526 of the family's 1533-position model. The record is from RNAcentral.